CCAUGAUGGACAAGAUACAGAUGCCGUGGAGAAAACUGCCCAGUGAGAAGUUUCCAACAUGGGGGAUUCACAUCACUGAUGUCAUUUGUACCUUCUCCAGGAUAAUUAGAAAUGGUUUCACGAAGACACGGCACUUGAACCAAAUCUUUGGGGAUAGGAAGCUCUGACAAAUUCUAGCAGAAGAAACAGUGUGAGUAAAGAAGUGACGGAAGGAAUGCACAGCCCAUAUUUGGGAAAUGGGAGGAUUUGCUUUGGUCAAGGCAUGAGGUAUAAGAGAUGAAUGGAAACCGAACUGAAAGAUGGCUACACCAUCUCAGUAGAAACUCUGUAGGAACUCACACAUUAGGCAUUACAGCAUAAGAGAAGGAUUUUUUUUUCCCCAAAAUAAGGGAAACUAUUGUAUAUAUUUCAGGCAGAGCAUAGAUACGAUCAAGACAAAGUAUAAAGACGAAAGUAAAAGAACAGGACUGUCACAGCAAGGGCCCAGCUGAUGUGGCUUUGAAAUGGGACUAAAAGCCCCUACGGAGGGCCUGGAAAGAACACGGAAGAAGAGAGUGGCAUCGAGCCUACGGGCCAGCGGCCAGGCUCUCUCCCAAAUUCUGCUGCUAUGGAUGUUUAAGUCAUUCUUUUCUUUAGGAGUCCCUUGGUCAACAUAAAUCAAACAAUAUCACACACUUAACCGUGGGAUCGAAAUGGACUCUUGCCUGAUAAUUCAUGAGGGAAGGUCUUUUGUUUCUGAUUUGUUUCAACAGAAGAAUUCCAGCCAAUAACUUCAGAAAGGAUAUUAAGAAUUCCAGCCAAUAACUUCAGAAAGUUUAAUAAUUACCAUUUUGCCACUUUGAAAUAGUGGAUCUAGGCUACACUCAUCGGUGAAUGCUGCCAAAUAUCAGGCGAGCCUUUGAGGGCAGGAAAGGGUAGCAUGUCCCCAAGAGAAAGAACUAAAGAUGAAAGGCUUCCUAAUGGAGUGAUCAGUCUGACCCGCUGGCUGAUCUAGGACAGACAGGCAUUGGGAAACAUGGGAUUGGCAGAAAUAACACACCUCGUGACAAGAAACAAUAGGUAGGGUGCACCACCACCUAGGAAGAAUGCUUGCCUAAGAUAAUUGAACCUGAAUCUAAUCACAACUCAAGAUGUAAAUAUCAUUUUACAGGAGAAACGGUUGGAGAAACUGGUUAAAUGACACCCUGAGAAAGUGACCAGCCAAAUCUAAAAUGUGCAAAUUCUACAGGACAAAUAACCCAUUUUCAAACAGAUCAAUGGCAUUAUUUUUAAAAGUGUGCAACAGAAUCGAAUAACAGGGGUUAAGAAACAUUCAAAUCGAAUGCAAUGCCUGGAUCUUCUUUGGGUCUCAACCCGAAUAAACCAACCUUGAAACGACAUUUUUAAGACAAAGAAGUUUGAAGAGUAUGUGAAGUCAAGGAAUUAUGGCAACAUUUUUAGGAUAGUGCCAUGCUGGUUAUCUUAAAAACAAACAAACUAAACAUCCUUAUCAGGUAGGGAGGCACACUGAAAUAUUCACCUACCGGUGAAAUCACAUGAUGUUUAGGAUUUACUUCAAAACACUCCAGAAAAAAAAUCAAGGGGAUAGGUGAAGUAAGAUUUGUAAGAUAUUGAUAACUAUUGAAGCUGGGUGGUGAGUACAUGGGGGGUUCAUAUAUUCAUCUUUUUACUUCUGUGCAUGUUAGAAAAUUUCUGUCUUACAGAGAUGCUUAUUUUAACAGACUCCUUAUAGUGACUAGUUUGGAAAACCUUUCUAUAUUUGUUUUGUAAUUGAUGAGAGAAAAGGGUCAUUUUCACAUAUGGUAUGUGAAUUCGGACAGAGAUGAUGAAGGGACUAAGUACAUUAUUUUACCUACUAUAAAAUGGCACUUUUCUGUACUUAUGGUUUGUGGAGAUCAGAGAUAAAUACCUUUCGUGACUCUGAGAAAGAAAAAAAUUUUUGAACUAAAUUAUCUCCUGGCUUCCACUGCGCACAUCCUUGUAAGCAUCAAGGCCAUAGUACCCUCCGUGAGCCAAGGGAAGACUGGCUCCUCUCCCCAGCUUAUCUGAUUGACAGCAUAACCCAAAAGGCCUGGACCACACACAGCAACAAGCCCCAUAUGCCAGAGUGGAUUCCUCAGGCUGAAACCCGGUCUGUUAAAAGGUUCCCGCCAGAUACUGACGAGCCGACUAAAAAUGUGUUCAUCUAUUUAGUCUCUUGGUCAGCAAAAUUGUUUUUUACGUUUAUUCAUUUUUGAGAGACAGAGACAAGAGCACGAGAGAGGGAGGGGCAGAGAGGGAGACACAGAAUCCAAAGCAGGCUCCAGGCUCCGAGCCAUCAGCACAGAGCCUGACGCGGGGCUAGAACUCACAAGCCAUGAGAUCAUGACCUGAGCCGAAGUCGGACGCUUAACCGACUGAGCCACCCAGGCACCCCUCUUGGUCAGCAAAUAUAACAGAGCAUUGCUUAUGUGUAUUUUAAGAGUGCAGGUCUUUAAACGAAUAGCUUAUCUCCUAACUCAGAUCUCCUCCUCCUCCUCACCUCCAUUAUCAUCACAAUCAUGCUUAUUCUGAAAUGGUCAAAUGGGAAAACAUUGUAGGAGACAGAGCCAGUUACCUACUUACUAUAUAGGAAGAACAGGUGCCCAAAAAGAAUGAUAGGCAGAGUUCAGCACUGACAAAACGUUCCUGUUAUCUUGAGGACAGAUCCUGUUCAUCCUCCGUGGUAGAUGUUGGAAUGUACCCAGAUCCCAUUUAGAAGUAAAGAACUAGAUUGUCAGCUGCCGGAAAUAUUGCCAGCAGGUGGCCCUCAGCUGUCAUCCCCCUUGAGGAAUUACCUUGCCUGAAAACAGUUAUUGUGCCCCAGAGAACCCCACUUCCUGGGAAGCCAAUGAGUGGUUGACUCAGGAGUAUAAAGGCCUUGGCCCCUCAGUGUAAGACAAAUCUGAAAAGCCAGGCCAGCUUCUGAACUCCCCAUGGGGUUGGCUGAAGCCCACCUUCUCUGGUCGAGUCCCACUUCCUUCCUUCCUCUUCCCCAGGUGCUGAUCCUGAGAAUACUCCCUACCAAACUUCAGCGGCUGAUCUCCAUCUCAGAGUGUGCUUCCCAGAGAACCCAACCUGGGACACCUCCAAUGACACCACUCUCCAGAAGAGUUAGACAGAUGCCCUCAAAGGAGCCAUCCUGCUGUCCCCAGCUAUUGUUAGGAGAUGUGAAGCCACGUCUAACUCCUGCCUCGUUCUGCCUUCUCAGGCCACUCAUAAAUAGGUGGCUGAGAGAAGGGAAGGAGAAAUCAAGUCACUGAUACUCACUGCCCAGGAACGACCACCACGCGUCUCACAGAAAGGCGUUGGAGAUGCCAUUGUUGCCAACAUCUCAAUUAACAACUUCUUCGCUGAAAUUACUUUGGCCUAAAUCACUUGGAUACAAAGAAUAUUAAAUGGUUGCCUUGCUCAAAAGUA
This is a long non-coding RNA of Neofelis nebulosa (Clouded leopard), 3438 nucleotides long. RefSeq lists it as uncharacterized. NCBI's taxonomy places the organism in Eukaryota, Metazoa, Chordata, Mammalia, Carnivora, Felidae. The record is from RefSeq and is a predicted model, not a curated record. The transcript has 2 exons.